GUGUAAUAUCAAAAUUAUAUAAUGAAUAAAUCAAUCCAAAAACCUUUAUUUUAGUUAAUAAUAUAGUGUAGGUAAUCAUCAAAUUUCAUAGAAAUAAGAUGUAGACCUUUCAGUAAUAGGUGAUUUGAUCACUGCUAUGGCACGGUCUCAAGGCAGGAUAACUCUUUAAGAAUUAAACGUAGCCAAUGCCAUAGACUCUAUUACCCUAUAUUAUUUAACUAAAAUAAACAAGAUAUAUAAAUAUUGCAGAUUUAAUCCUAUGGUAAUUAAAAUUAUUUAAUUCUAUAGAUGGUGUAGUUAAAUUGCAACUGAGUCUACUAGCAAAUUUAACUUGUAUGUGGUGCAAAAAUUGUGGUUUGGGUGCACCAAAAUACCUUAUGCUAUUAUAAAAUUCCAAGUGUAACUUUAUGUUAGUGCAAAACAGGGGGGUUUGGGUGCACUAACAGAUCACAAAAUAAUUAGCAAAGUCACAAAUGUAUUAUAUAUAUAUGGUGCAUGGGUUUUUAGAGUACCACAUAUAUCAAGAUAUAAUCAAAACACAAGCCAUCGUAAAUAAAUAAAAUAUUCAAACCAAGAUUAUUUAUUUACAUUGGCCAUAUCCAGCAGUACAGAGCAACAACAAUCAUACAAAUAUAGAUGUUCUUGCAAUCAACAAACUAGCAAAUCAUAUGCAAAUUAACUUAAUAUUACUGCUGAAAGAAAAAAUAAAAGAAAAACAAACUAUGCAAAGGCCAAGGGCGGCCCAGCC
Molecule: long non-coding RNA, 748 nt
Filed under: Sorghum bicolor (sorghum)
Lineage: Eukaryota; Viridiplantae; Streptophyta; Magnoliopsida; Poales; Poaceae
Description: long non-coding RNA (SBIC_LNC010796)
Source: RNAcentral